This 267-nucleotide unclassified non-coding RNA is filed under the name Hevea brasiliensis (rubber tree). The record is from RNAcentral. Lineage: Eukaryota; Viridiplantae; Streptophyta; Magnoliopsida; Malpighiales; Euphorbiaceae.
CAGAAUCUAUGGGAUGUUCCAGAUUAUGCUUGUCGGAGUCCUGCAAUACAUCAUUGUUGCACUUACUGUUUUCUUUAGCUUCAAGCACUAUCUUACUGCUGCCAUGAUUAUCAGGUUUACUAUCAUCCACCGGUGUCUUUCCCUUGGGAACAGCCACUGAGACAUCACCAAAAGUAGAAUUUCCGCUACAAAUCUUUUCGUUGUAGACAUCAGUUUGUUUUUGUAAAUCUGAUCCAGCAAUAGCAUCCAAAGCUUCUCUGAUAUCAG